UGGGGAUGACGUCAAAUCAUCAUGCCCCUUAUGUUCUGGGCUACACACGUGCUACAAUGGCCGGUACAGACGGACGCAAAGCCGCGAGGUGGAGCAAAUCCUAAAAAAGCCGGUCUCAGUUCGGAUUGCAGGCUGCAAUUCGCCUGCAUGAAGUCGGAAUCGCUAGUAAUCGCAGGUCAGCAUACUGCGGUGAAUACGUUCCCGGGCCUU
Molecule: ribosomal RNA, 210 nt
Filed under: uncultured Cryptanaerobacter sp.
Lineage: Bacteria; Bacillati; Bacillota; Clostridia; Eubacteriales; Desulfotomaculaceae
Description: partial 16S ribosomal RNA
Rfam family: Bacterial small subunit ribosomal RNA
Source: RNAcentral